This 221-nucleotide ribosomal RNA is filed under the name uncultured bacterium. Its description in RNAcentral is "partial 16S ribosomal RNA". It matches the Rfam family "Bacterial small subunit ribosomal RNA", at positions 524 to 739 of the family's 1533-position model. The record is from RNAcentral.
UACGUAGGGUCCGAGCGUUGUCCGGAGUUACUGGGCGUAAAGCGCGCGCAGGCGGCGGUGCUGGCCCGGCGUGAAACGCCCCCGGCUCAACCCGGGGAGGUCGUCGGGGGACCGCACCGGCUUGAGGGCGGUAGGGGCUGGUGGAAUGCCUGGUGUAGUGGUGAAAUGCGUAGAGAUCAGGCGGAACACCCGUGGCGGAAGGCCGGCCAGCUGGGCCGUCC